This 488-nucleotide ribosomal RNA is filed under the name uncultured bacterium. RNAcentral describes it as "bacterial SSU rRNA". It matches the Rfam family "Bacterial small subunit ribosomal RNA", at positions 21 to 518 of the family's 1533-position model. The record is from RNAcentral.
GGCUCAGGAUGAACGCUGGCGGCGUGCCUAACACAUAGCAAGUCGAACGAGCGAGAGAUGAAACCUAGUGAUUCUCGAGCGAGUGGCGGACGGGUGAGUAACGCGUGGGCAACCUGCCUUACAGAGGGGGAUAACAGUUUGAAAAGACUGCUAAUACCUCAUAAGCACACAGUACCGCAUGGUACAGGGUGAAAAGAUUUAUCACUGUAAGAUGGACCCGCGUCUGAUUAGCCAGUUGGCAGGGUAACGGCCUACCAAAGCGACGAUCAGUAGCCGACCUGAGAGGGUGAUCGGCCACAUUGGGACUGAGACACGGCCCAAACUCCUACGGGAGGCAGCAGUGGGGGAUAUUGCACAAUGGAGGAAACUCUGAUGCAGCCGACGCCGCGUGAGUGAAGAAGUAUUUCGGUAUGUAAAGCUCUAUCAGCAGGGAAGAUAAUGACAGUACCUGACCAAGAAGCCCCGGCUAACUACGUGCCAGCAGCCGC